CGACCUCAAUUUAAGCGAGAAUACCCGCUGAACUUAAGCAUAUCAGUAAGCGGAGGAAAAGAAACUAACUAGGAUUC
RNAcentral lists this ribosomal RNA (77 nucleotides) under Steinernema ceratophorum. RNAcentral describes it as "partial 28S ribosomal RNA". It matches the Rfam family "Eukaryotic large subunit ribosomal RNA", at positions 1 to 77 of the family's 3401-position model. The record is from RNAcentral. Lineage: Eukaryota; Metazoa; Nematoda; Chromadorea; Rhabditida; Steinernematidae.